RNAcentral lists this transfer RNA (70 nucleotides) under Ictidomys tridecemlineatus (thirteen-lined ground squirrel). RNAcentral describes it as "Spermophilus tridecemlineatus (thirteen-lined ground squirrel) tRNA". It matches the Rfam family "tRNA". Rfam says of the family: Transfer RNA (tRNA) molecules are approximately 80 nucleotides in length. Their secondary structure includes four short double-helical elements and three loops (D, anti-codon, and T loops). The record is from Rfam by way of RNAcentral. Lineage: Eukaryota; Metazoa; Chordata; Mammalia; Rodentia; Sciuridae.
GGGUGUAGCUGAGUGGUAGAGCACUUGCUUAGCAUGCAUGAGAUACUGGGUUCAAUCCCCAGCCCUCCCA